UACGGGGGGGGCAAGCGUUGUUCGGAAUUACUGGGCGUAAAGGGCUCGUAGGCGGCCAACUAAGUCAGACGUGAAAUCCCUCGGCUUAACCGGGGAACUGCGUCUGAUACUGGAUGGCUCGAGUGUGGGAGAGGGAUGCGGAAUUCCAGGUGUAGCGGUGAAAUGCGUAGAUAUCGGGAGGAACAUCAGUGGCGAAGGCGGCGACCUGGAUCAGAACUGACACUGAGGCACGGAAGCGUGGGGAGCAAACAGG
This 253-nucleotide ribosomal RNA is filed under the name uncultured prokaryote. RNAcentral describes it as "partial 16S ribosomal RNA". It matches the Rfam family "Bacterial small subunit ribosomal RNA", at positions 524 to 776 of the family's 1533-position model. The record is from RNAcentral.